This is a long non-coding RNA of Mauremys reevesii (Reeves's turtle), 200 nucleotides long. RefSeq lists it as uncharacterized. The transcript is spliced from 4 exons. The record is from RefSeq and is a predicted model, not a curated record. NCBI's taxonomy places the organism in Eukaryota, Metazoa, Chordata, Testudines, Geoemydidae.
GCAAAGUUUACACCAAGUAGGGGAGCAGGUGCCUUAAAGUCUGGCUUCGCCCCCAAAAGGUACUUCAGGGACAGCUAAAGAUGUAACAGAAGAAUCAGUGUCAGAAGAUGACAAAAGGAGGAACUAUGGUGGUGUAUACGUUGGUCUGCCAUCAGAGGCUACUACCAUGGCUCCCAGUCAGACAAAGACUGAACCUAAAG